UACGAACUGUCCUAACGUUGUUCGGAAUCACUGGGCUUAAAGGGCGCGUAGGCGGUCCGUCAAGUCAGGGGUGAAAUCCUGCAGCUUAACUGUAGAAGUGCCUCUGAUACUGACGGUCUUGAGGGAGAUAGGGGUGUGCGGAACUUCCAGUGGAGCGGUGAAAUGCGUUGAUAUUGGAAGGAACGCCGGAGGCGAAAGCGGCGCACUGGAUCUCUUCUGACGCUGAGGCGCGAAAGCUAGGGGAGCAAACGGG
RNAcentral lists this ribosomal RNA (253 nucleotides) under uncultured bacterium. RNAcentral's name for it is "partial 16S ribosomal RNA". It matches the Rfam family "Bacterial small subunit ribosomal RNA", at positions 524 to 776 of the family's 1533-position model. The record is from RNAcentral.